GUCCCCCACAGCAUCGAGCCAAGUCAUUUAAAAAGGAUUUAGGCCACUGCCUUUUUCUGAGGGAGGAGCGGCCAGCAUGUGCCCCGCGGCUCACUGGGCCUGUCUAAUCACACAGCAGUGGCAAAAGGAGUAUCUGCCAGACGCUUCCUAUCACUCUAUUCUGUCUCCUCAUCCACCUGAAGUUCACCCCGUUUCCCCAAUGACUUAGAAUGGCUUUGUGCUUAGUUUUAAUUGUAGUUUGUGCUAUUCUGUGAAUUAACAAUUCAAACAAAAUAAGAAAGCCAUGUUGUUAAACAGUAGAGGAGCCAGGGACUCUGUCUCCAUUCUCUCAUCACACACAAGUCAUGCAUCUACCAAAAAAAAAAAAACAAAAAAACACAACAACAAAAAAACUGUCCUCUGAGGAGGCACAGGUGUGACAGAUAAGGAACCUGCAGCUCAGAUUCAACAG
This 451-nucleotide long non-coding RNA is filed under the name Homo sapiens (human). Its description in RNAcentral is "non-protein coding lnc-TK1-2:1". The record is from RNAcentral. Lineage: Eukaryota; Metazoa; Chordata; Mammalia; Primates; Hominidae.